AAACCAACAGGGAUUGCCCUAGUAACGGCGAGUGAAGCGGCAACAGCUCAAAUUUGAAAUCUGGCCUUCGGGUCCGAAUUGUAAUUUGUAGAGGAUGCUUUGGGUGCGGUACCUUCCGAGUUCCCUGGAACGGGACGCCGGAGAGGGUGAGAGCCCCGUACGGUUGGAUACCAAGCCUAUGUAUAGCUCCUUCGACGAGUCGAGUAGUUUGGGAAUGCUGCUCUAAAUGGGAGGUAAAUUUCUUCUAAAGCUAAAUACCGGCCAGAGACCGAUAGCGCACAAGUAGAGUGAUCGAAAGAUGAAAAGCACUUUGAAAAGAGGGUUAAAUAGCACGUGAAAUUGUUGAAAGGGAAGCGUUUGCGACCAGACCUUUUCCAGGCGGAUCAUCCGGUGUUCUCACCGGUGCACUUCGCCUGGUUUAGGCCAGCAUCGGUUUUCUUAGGGGGAUAAAGGUUUAGGGCACGUAGCUCCUUCGGGAGUGUUAUAGCCCUUUACGUAAUACCCUUCGGGGGACCGAGGACCGCGCAUUGCAAGGAUGCUGGCGUAAUGGUCGUCAACGAC
This 561-nucleotide ribosomal RNA is filed under the name Hypomontagnella monticulosa. RNAcentral describes it as "partial 28S ribosomal RNA". It matches the Rfam family "Eukaryotic large subunit ribosomal RNA", at positions 62 to 648 of the family's 3401-position model. Lineage: Eukaryota; Fungi; Ascomycota; Sordariomycetes; Xylariales; Hypoxylaceae. The record is from RNAcentral.